RNAcentral lists this ribosomal RNA (440 nucleotides) under uncultured bacterium. RNAcentral describes it as "partial 16S ribosomal RNA". It matches the Rfam family "Bacterial small subunit ribosomal RNA", at positions 338 to 795 of the family's 1533-position model. The record is from RNAcentral.
CCUACGGGAGGCUGCAGUGGGGAAUAUUGGACAAUGGGCGGAACCCUGAUCCAGCGACGCCGCGUGAGUGAAGAAGUAUUUCGGUAUGUAAAGCUCUAUCAGCAGGGAAGAAAAUGACGGUACCUGACUAAGUAUCCCCGGCUAACUACGUGCCAGCAGCCGCGGGAAUACGUAGGGGGCAAGCGUUAUCCGGAUUUAUGGGGUUUAAAGGGAGCGUAGACGGUGCAGCAAGUCUGAUGUGAAAGGUCGGGGCCCAACCCCGGGACUGCAUUUGAAACUGUUGAACUGGAGUACAGGAGAGGUAAGCGGAAUUCGUGGUGUAGCGGUGAAAUGCGUAGAUAUUAGGAAGAACACCAGUGGCGAAGGCAGCUUACUGGACUGUAACUGACGUUGAGGCUCGAAAGCGUGGGGAGCAAACAGGAUUAGAUACCCUGGUAGUC